This 301-nucleotide ribosomal RNA is filed under the name uncultured bacterium. RNAcentral's name for it is "partial 16S ribosomal RNA". It matches the Rfam family "Bacterial small subunit ribosomal RNA", at positions 509 to 809 of the family's 1533-position model. The record is from RNAcentral.
CAGUAGCCACGGUAAUACGAAGGGUGCAAGCGUUAAUCGGAAUUACUGGGCGUAAAGCGUGCGCAGGCGGUUUGUUAAGACAGAUGUGAAAUCCCCGGGCUCAACCUGGGAACUGCAUUUGUGACUGGCAAGCUAGAGUAUGGCAGAGGGGGGUGGAAUUCCGCGUGUAGCAGUGAAAUGCGUAGAUAUGCGGAGGAACACCGAUGGCGAAGGCAGCCCCCUGGGCCAAUACUGACGCUCAUGCACGAAAGCGUGGGGAGCAAACAGGAUUAGAUACCCCCGUAGUCCCUGUCUCUUAUAA